Molecule: ribosomal RNA, 643 nt
Filed under: uncultured bacterium
Lineage: Bacteria
Description: bacterial SSU rRNA
Rfam family: Bacterial small subunit ribosomal RNA
Source: RNAcentral
CGCGGCCUAUCAGCUUGUUGGUGGGGUAAUGGCCUACCAAGGCUUCGACGGGUAGCCGGCCUGAGAGGGCGACCGGCCACACUGGGACUGAGACACGGCCCAGACUCCUACGGGAGGCAGCAGUGGGGAAUAUUGCGCAAUGGGCGGAAGCCUGACGCAGCGACGCCGCGUGAGGGAUGAAGGCCUUCGGGUUGUAAACCUCUUUCAGCAGGGACGAAGCGAGAGUGACGGUACCUGCAGAAGAAGCACCGGCCAACUACGUGCCAGCAGCCGCGGUAAUACGUAGGGUGCAAGCGUUGUCCGGAAUUAUUGGGCGUAAAGAGCUCGUAGGCGGUCUGUCGCGUCGGCUGUGAAAACUCGGGGCUCAACCCCGAGCCUGCAGUCGAUACGGGCAGACUAGAGUGCUGUAGGGGAGACUGGAAUUCCUGGUGUAGCGGUGAAAUGCGCAGAUAUCAGGAGGAACACCGGUGGCGAAGGCGGGUCUCUGGGCAGUAACUGACGCUGAGGAGCGAAAGCGUGGGGAGCGAACAGGAUUAGAUACCCUGGUAGUCCACGCCGUAAACGGUGGGUGCUAGGUGUGAGCGGUAUUCCACGCCGUUCGUGCCGCAGCUAACGCAUUAAGCACCCCGCCUGGGGAGUACGG